This is a long non-coding RNA of Eutrema salsugineum, 477 nucleotides long. RefSeq lists it as uncharacterized. The record is from RefSeq and is a predicted model, not a curated record. NCBI's taxonomy places the organism in Eukaryota, Viridiplantae, Streptophyta, Magnoliopsida, Brassicales, Brassicaceae. The transcript is spliced from 2 exons.
UAGAAGAGUCGAUGAAAGGGAAAUGAAAAUGGUCGACGAUUUGGAGAGUCGAUAAAUGAGCGGUGUGGAAGCAGCUGAUCGAUCGGUGAUGGAGGAGGAAAUCGAUGGAGCAGCAUCGCUGAUGGAGGAGCAAAUUGAUCGGUGAUGGAUCACCAAAUCGUCGGAGCAUUAAUAGAAGGCAUGUUGAAGAUGAGUUUGUUUAAGAUGGAGCAUGUUGAAUAUCGGUUUGGUGUUUGUUCUUGUUUUGGAUCGACCUAUUUCUGCUUAUACUUGUAAUCGGUUUGGUUUUUGUUCACUAGUUUAGUUGGUGAAAGAGUUAAAGGUCAUGUUGCUUAUACUUGUAAUCGGUUAACUAUCAGUUUAAUUGCCGAAAGACUUGGUUGUGAUAAAUGCUUGUUAGUAGUUUGUUAGGUGAACGAGUUAAAGGGCAAGAUUGUUGUGAUAAAUGCUUGGUUCAUUUAGAUUAUUCUAACUUGA